UACAGAGGGGGCAAGCGUUGUUCGGAAUUACUGGGCGUAAAGGGCGCGUAGGCGGCCGCCUAAGUCAGACGUGAAAUCCCUCGGCUCAACCGGGGAACUGCGUCUGAUACUGGGUGGCUUGAAUUCGGGAGAGGAAUGCGGAAUUCCAGGUGUAGCGGUGAAAUGCGUAGAUAUCUGGAGGAACACCGGUGGCGAAGGCGGCAUUCUGGACCGAUAUUGACGCUGAGGAGCGAAAGCCAGGGGAGCAAACGGG
This 253-nucleotide ribosomal RNA is filed under the name uncultured bacterium. Its description in RNAcentral is "partial 16S ribosomal RNA". It matches the Rfam family "Bacterial small subunit ribosomal RNA", at positions 524 to 776 of the family's 1533-position model. The record is from RNAcentral.